Molecule: long non-coding RNA, 15344 nt
Filed under: Homo sapiens (human)
Lineage: Eukaryota; Metazoa; Chordata; Mammalia; Primates; Hominidae
Description: non-protein coding PCBP1-AS1:250
Source: RNAcentral
GUCCCCGGCGUCCGGGCGCCCUGCAUGGAUCCCCCACCCCAGCUCCUGCUCCCCGGCGGCGGCCGGUGGGCAGAAAGACCGAAACCCACUCACGGCCGCCUGCCGAAUCGCGGCUCUGCUGUUUGUGGGGCGUGCUAGAAACGUGGUCCUAAAAAGAAUGGCGUCCAUUUACAUAAUGCUUUGUUUGCGUUUCGCAAGUUUCUUUCGGUUAAAGCCACAGAAACCCCACCUCCUGCCCUUGUGUCGUUUCCACCGCGGCACCCUUUUCCGACAUUAGAAACAAUAGUGUACGCCUGUGGAGGCCUCGUUUGUUCAGGGGCUGCCGGCCAGGGCUUCAGGACGUUUCUGCGGCUUUCCCCGCGCGGCCUGGGCUCCCGCGGCUGCUUUUCGGGCCCAUGGGCGCAGCCACUGCGCCAGGCUCAAGGGGGGCGGCCCCGUCAGGGCCCGCCAUCUUGGAAGGCCUUUUUUGCCGGUUCUUCCCGCUGAGGAAGUGUCGCUCAAGACGCUGGCCUAUGAGUUGUGAUUUCUGCCUUUUCCCCUUCCUCCUUGGGCUAAGCCAGACCAGAAAGGGCCCCGUGCGCAACGUGCUUCACAAUCUCUCAGGGAAAGCGGCUAACGUGGCGCUACUCCGCCUCCCCUGUUCCUUACCCUUGGGGCGGCCGCCAUGUUUCCUGAACACAAAAUGGCGACACGUGGUUAGCAUUCGUCGCCAACGAGAAAUUGGGGUCGGCCCGAAAGCUCUAGAAUGCACCCCUCUUCCUCCCCGGGGCCUUCCACCUCCGCGAGUUUUAUGACUUAAAAAAGCCCACAGGCUGGUCUGAAGGUCGGAGGCCUAAUUUUAACGCGUUUUCCUCCCUUUAAUUUGAAACGGGAACGCGAAUGACUGUAAAAUGUGGGCACAAUAUUUAAUCUCUCGCCUUUUUAAAGCUUAAUAGUGGAUAAUAGGGGGGCAGUAUCAAGGGAUAAUUUGGGUCCCCACAGUACCAAAGCAUUUAGAAACCUCUGUUUAAUUUAAGGAAUGAGAUAAGUUACUGCUUUUCUAGACUUCCUAGCAUGGGCUGUUGUGCUGGAGAGAACGAGAGCUACGAAGAGACUACAGUGCCUCUGACUUUUUCAUAGGACAGUUGGCCGAGGAAGACAAACAUAAAGAUGAAGUGCUUAAUUCAAGGUCACACAAUGUCGGGGAUGGACCUCCAGAUUUCCUUACUGACCUGCAUUAUCUUGUGGAUACCUGAGUGAAUUCCACACCACCCAUUUUAUAGAUGAAACCACUGAGACAUGGAGCAAUUGACUGAGUAGUCACUGCCCCACCCCUGCCUGGAGCCUCACACAUGACUCGCCUCCUCUCAGUGACCACAGGUGAGACGUGGUCUUGUAACACAGUGGUUAAGAAUGUGACUUUGGAGCCAGCCUGCUAGGGGCUGAAUUCUGACUCAGCCAUUUACUAACUGUGUGACCUUAGGCUGGAGUGCAAUGGCAUGAUCUCGGCUCAUCACAACCUCUGCUUCCUGGGUUCAAGCGAUUCUCCUGCCUCAGCCUCCCGAGUACCUGGGACUACAGGCACUCGCCACCAUGCCCGGCUGAUUUUUGUAUUUUUAAUAGAGAUGGUUUCACUAUGUUGGCCAGGCUGGUCUCGAACUCCUGACCUUGUGAUCUGCCCACCUCAGCCUCGAAAAGUGCUGGGAUUACAGGCGUGAGCCACUGCGCCCAGCCUUGUAUUUUUUUUCAGUUUGGGUAGCUGUCCCUAAUUCAUUUGUUAAAGGAGAAGCAAGAGCAAGAACCUUUAAUCUGUUCUCCUCUUCCCUAAUUUGAAAGUAGCUUGUUAUUUUGAAUAUCACUUUCUCUGAAAUAGCACAUCUCCAUCUCAGAGAAUGGAUUUAAUGUUUGGAUACAGCCAAAAGUCAUUUCAUUACCAAACCAUGGGGUGAAUAUACCAUGUAAAGCAGUUUGGGAUCAGAACUCACAGUCUGAAUUGUAAGUGAUGAGACUGCUGUCUCUCUGCUACAGCUUCUUGGCUGGCUCUGAAGGCUCUUUGAAGGCAGAUCCUAACAAGGGGACUGCUUUGAAGGGCCAUUGUUCAUUUGGAAUGAUAAAGUCUAUGUUGUUCAAAAAACAAAUGCUUGUAGCAGGUAUUUUUUCACUCCAGACUGAGAAUAUUGGUGGGAUAUUGAUAAGGGGUACUGAAUGGUAAUAAACAUGUGCUCUAGCUCUGUGCUAGUCAGCUUAUUUCAGAACUCUAGUUUGAUUCAGUUUCUUGCCUCUGACUCAAAAUGGAGGGAGAGUGAUUUUUACAUAAGAGAACACACCCACAUAUCCUUUUGGCAGCAGCUACCUGCCAGAGAUGUUGAAGAAGAGUAGCCAACCUUUACACAGCAGAUAUUGUGUGCCAGUCAUAGUCCUAAGUAUAAUACCUUACAUGUAUAAACUUCUUAUAAGGUUGGUGCUCUGUACCGAAUUGAAUAGUAUCCCCCAAAAUUCAUGUUGUCCCAGAACCUAUGAAAGUGAUCUUACUUGAGGGAGGGGGGAGGGGGGAGGGAUAGCAUUAGGAGAUAUACCUAAUGCUAAAUGACGAGUUAAUGGGUGUAGCACACCAGCAUGGCACAUGUAUACAUAUGUAACUAACCUGCACAUUGUGCACAUGUACCCUAAAACUUAAAGUAUAAUAAUAAUAAAAUAAAAAAAAAAAAGAAAGUGAUCUUACUUGGAAAUAAGGUCUUUGCACAUAUGAUCAAGUUGAGAUGAAGUUGUACUGGAAAGUCUGUCUAGUGACUGGUGUUGUCAUAAGAAGAGAGGGACACAGAGGGAAGAUGGCCACAUGAAGAUGGAGGCAGAGAUUGCAGUUAUGCUGCUGCAAACUAAGGAAUGGCUCUGGCCCUCCAAGGAUUGCUGAUAACCACCAGAAACUAGAAGAGACAAGGAAGGAUUCUUCCCUAGAGCCUUCAGAGGGAGCAUGGCCCUACUGACACCUGGAUUUCAAACUUGUAGCUUCCUAAACUGCAAGAGAAUAAAUUUCUGUUGUUUUAAGCCAUAUAGUUUGUGGUAAUUUGUUAUGGCAGUCCUAGGUAAUUAGUGUACACUCUUACCAUCUUCAUUUUCAGAUAAAGGAAACUGAGGCCCAGAGAAGUCAAAUACUUUGAGAUCUCUGUAGGCCCCUACUGUGCUGGCUGUGCAUAGAUUCCAUACCUCCUGCUGUUGCUGUUGUUGGGUCUCCACCUUUACCAUGGCCAUCACCUCCUGGCAGUGCUGGAGCUGAGCUGCUGGAAUAACUUGUUUUUCUUUUUUCUUUUUUUUUUUUCUUUUAAGACAGAGUUUUGCACUGUCCCCCAGGUUGGAGUGCAGUGGUGCGAUCUCGGCUCACUGCAACCUUUGCUUCCUGGGUUCACGCCAUUCUCCUGCCUCAGCCUCCCAAGUAGCUGGGACUACAGGCACACGCCACCACGCCCAGCUAAUUUUUGUGCUUUUAGUAGAGACGGCAUUUCACCAUGUUGGCCAGGAUGGUCUCGAUCUCUUGACCUUGUGAUCCACCUGCCUUAGCCUCCCAAAGUGCUGGGAUUACAGGCAUGAGUCACCACGCCUGGCCUAUGACUUGUUUUUCUAACACACCAGGCCAUAGCCUUUCUUAAUGUUUUGCCUGCUUCAUACUGUAAAUCAGAAACUCCUCUCGGGAGGCUUCUGACUGUAGCCUGACCAUCUCACCUGAUCUCUUCUCCAAUCCCUCUUCCCCUCUCCCCUUUAUUUUCCCUUUGCUAUUUUUACUUUUCAUGCAGUGUCAGAGAAGUGUAGUGACUAUGUCGGGGGAGGAUCCCCCAGCUGCCUCUGGUAGUUGGUUUUAUACUUCCCACUUUUGGCGUGCUGUACCUUCUAGAAUUUCUGUCAGUAGACAAUUUUGUGUUUUUCUUUGGAGCUUUCAAGAUCUUGCACAUAGCUUAUAUAGUUACAUGGCUGUGAACAGAGAACGGGCAGUUUCAUGGUGGCAUUGGCUGUGAGGGCACUUACAUUGAUGAAUUCAACCCACCACAGUGGCUGUCUCCCCUGUCAAAGUGAGUGAGGGGAUGAGAGCAUUUUCUGAACCAGCUCAUCUUCCUGAAUAGCUUCUUGCAUGCCCCUGGGCUUUUCUGUUGGCAUUUAAUUGCUGGCUGUGGAAUCUUGCCUGUUUUCCAAUAUAGACCUUUGGCUUUAGAUCCUGUUCUUGUUCUUACCCACUCUCACUAAACUGAACUCCAGGAACCACAUCUCUUUUGUUUGCUGCUGUAUCCCAGGACUGAGCAAAGGCCUGAUGCUUACUAACACCUCAAGAAAUAUUUAUUGAAUGAAGAAAUGAAUAUUGACCUGGAAAGUUCAAACUCUUGGUUUUCCUUGCUUCUUCCUGAAGUCAGGGGCCAGAUUAAGAAUUUGUUUAAUAGUCUUAAGCAAUAGAAAAAUUAUUAUGUCCCUCAUACUUUCAUCCCUCCGUAUGUAUUUUAAAAACAGCGUAAAUGCAAAACAAGUAUAAAGAAACCUAGCAAAAUAUAAAGAAAAUGCAGCAAAAUUCUGAUUUUUACCUUGGUUACCACUUUCAUAAAUAUAAAGUAACUUAAAAUAUUUGUUGUUGUUGUUGUUCUUGUUUUGCCAGUUCCCUGAGCACAUGCUGUUGAGUAAUCCUGCCUGGACCAGUACUUCCCUCACCCUAGACUUCACCUUCAGUUCCCCUUUAUACCACCUGCUGAAGCUGCCAGCCAGCCUUUUCGACCACCCUCCCUCCCCCAGGGGUGUUUGGCUUCUCAGACCCCAGCCUGAGCUAGUGCCCUUGGCUUCCUAGGGUCUUGCCAGGAAAGCAAAGGAGAACAUGCAUACCGCCAAAGAGUACCUAAUAAUAAGAACUCCCAUCCUGAAUUGUGAUUUAUAGUCAGCAUAGCACAUGUGUCAGGUGAUUAUACUUAGGCUGAUUUUAGCCUUAAUAAUCUGCUUCUGUGAUCCUGUAUGUGGGAAGCCUAGAAAUUUCUCUGUGAUCCUCCUUCCUGGAUCACUAAGAGACAAGUCAAGACAUAGGUCCAUUCUACCACCUGUGUUAAUCUGGGCCUUGUUGAGACCAUUUAAAGAAAGGCGUGAUGCUAGAAGUAAGGUCCAGGCCUCCUGCACACUGUUUCAAGGCUGUGACCAUAGUCAGAUCCUGUUGCUUGAGUCCAAAGAGUUUAAAAUAGUGUUGGAAACCUCCUAGGGAAAAAACAAAAAACAAAACACCACAUCUUCCUGGGUAAGGAAGUGACAUGUGCUGACUAGAGCAGGAGGGGUAGCCAAGGCUCCAAGUUCUAUUCUGGACCUGUUGUUGAUUUGAGGUGUGACAUUCAGCAAUCUGAGCUGAUGUUCUGUAGCUCUGAUUGGUUUCUCAUCUUCUGCAGAGAGAGUGAAAGAGGCUGUGCUUGCAGGGGAAAAGGUGAACACUGGUCUCCUGUCCUUUAGGAGAGCUUCACCAUUACACGUCCUGCCUCUCAUUUGAAUUUCCAGGCUUUUUUAGAGUCUCGCUCUAUUGCCCAGAUUGGAGUGCAGUGGUGUGAUCUCGGCUCACUGCAACCUCUGCCUCUGGGUUUAAGCGAUUCUCUCACCUCAGCCUCCCAAGUAGCUGGAAUUAUAGGUGCGUGCCACCAUGCCUGGCUAAUUUUUGUGUUUUUAGUAGAGACAGGGUUUCACCAUGUUGGCCAGGCUAGUCUCGAACUCCUGACCUCAAGUGAUCCACCCACCUCGGCCUCCCAACCAGGCUUUUUUAAAUGCAGAAACCGCCCGCCCCCAGAGUUAAUAUGGAAACCCAGCAAUGUUGUUUAUGUUUUACUUGAAUUCGUUUCAUCAGAAUUGCAUUCCUUUUAACAGUGUGAUUAGAUCAGCUCUUAGAGGGGAUGGCAGCUUCAGUAGGGUUUAGGAAAGGAAAGGAAUAUUUGUGUGGGGCACACACUUUGGCUUUGAUAGCUUGAGGAUACCAGGUACAUGAUAAUUUAGAUGGAUAACAGAAACUUGUGUCCCUUGAGAGCCAGGCAUGUAUUAGAUGCUUUCAUACAUUAUUUAAUUGUAAUACAAACCAAUAAAGUAUUCCCAUUUUUUGCACAUGGGCAAGCUGAAAGUCAAAGAAGUUAUGUAACUUGCCCAAGGUCACACAGCUAAUAAAAAGGCUGAGCUAGGAUUUAUUUCUCCUCAAGUCUGUACAACGCCAGAGCCCAUGCUGUUUUCACAGAGCUUUUCUGUCCCUGGUGAGAUUUAGGAAAGGAGGGUAGGAGAAAGAAGGGUGAUGAGAUGCCAUUUUUACCCACCUUGCGAUUUUGCUUGUUGGGACGUGUUUAGCCAGAACAUUCUGUUUAUAGAAUACUAGAUUCUAUAUAUAGAGAUGCUGCAGCAACAUAUGUGGGAAAGAUACCAAUUGGCUGUAGGUGAGGAUUUCAAAAAGCCUUUGUUCUUCAUCACAGCAUAGGCCACACGUGUCAAAACACCACUGGUAAUUGGUUUACUGCUUAAGUGGCUCUGUCCUAUCAUCUACAUAAAAUCUGUUGAUGUGGCUCACAAAGUCAGGUGUGAUGGGGCCAGAGGUGAGGGUGUGGUGUAUCCUCACUGCAUGUACUGGAGCUGGUGGCACCUGUUGUGUGACUACUGCAGUGAAUGAUUACUGAGUAAAUAAGAGGUGUCUCAGCCAGGCGUGGUGGCUCACGCCCGGAAUCCCAGCACUUUGGGAGGCCGAGGUGGGCGGAUCACCUGAGGUUGGGAGUUUGAGACCAGCCUGACCAACAUGGAGAAACCCCGUCUCUACUAAAAAUACAAAAUUAGCUGGGCGUGGUGGCUCAUGCCUGUGAUCCCAGCCACUUGGGAGGCUGUGGCAGGAGAAUCGCCUGAAUCCGCGAGGCGGUGGUUGCCGUGAGCCGAGAUCGUGUCAUUGCACUCUAGCCUGGGCAACAAGAGUGGAACUCUGUCUCAGAAAAACAAAACAAAACAUUAGGUGUCUCCUUUUUUCUUCUCCAAGGGAGACCAGAUAGCAGUGGGUGCUGGCACACAUCCAGGGAUCCUGGCCCCUGGGCUAGCAGAAGAGAUGGCUUGAAGGUGUCAGGUGAUGGAAUAAAAAGAGCUGGUCUGUCAAGUGGUAUAAUUUCAGGGGACCAAGAAUGUGUCCUGCCCCUCAAAAACUUGCCCUAGCUGUUUGCUAUUGCUUGGGAUCCCACAAUUGAAAUUUCUUUUUCUUGAUUUAAAUCUUUGAGACCCUAUUAAAAAUGAAGAGACUCCAGGAAGAGUUUUGAUUGUGAAACAUUUUGGUCAUGUUAACUGGAAGUAUGAAUGAGUUUAUAAGAUUGAUUUCUGAGAACCAGACUGAGGAAGGGAUAGGGAGGAGAAGGCACUGUGCCCCUAGUUGCAGGGACAAGAAGGAGACACCAAUGAGUUUGAGAUAAAGGCCUUGAAGAGAGAUGCUGGGUCUCUAAAGAAAUACUUGGUUUCCUUCACAGUUUUGUCUGAGAAAAGACAAGCAGCUGACAGUGCUGGUUAUGGAGGCCCAUGACCCCAAAAGAGGUUGUGCUGAGUAGAUAGCCCACCAGCAUGUUCGGAUGGAGGCACAAUGUUGUCUGGAGAGCAGCUGACAGCUAUAAUGUAACCAGGAGUGCUGGACCUUUGGGUCUGUGGUUUACUGUGAUGUACUGAGACAAAGACUGUCACAGAUCUUAGAAGGGGGAGGCACAGCUUCCAAGAAAUGAUGCAAAAUGGUGGCGCAAAAGAGGCCACCAGUGGCAACAAGGGCAGGGCAUUUCCUUUGUGGCUGGUGGUCACGGACAACUUCUGGUCUCAAUUUCCCAAUGAGCUAUGCUAAGAAAUUUACCAGAAAGCAAAAUAAGCCAUGCAAAAAGCGAUGACAAAGCACUUGGGGUAUCCAUGCAAAGGUGCAGUUCCCCCUUGUCCACUAAUUUUGUGGAGCCAAAAGAGCUGAUCCAGAAGCUGCAAAGAUAGUCCCUGUGAUUAAGACAUACAACUUUUUUUUUUUUAAAUGCGAGACUCUGUCUUACUCUGCCACCCAGGCUGGAGUGCAGUAGAGCAAUCUUGGCUCACUGCAACUUCCACCUCCUGGGUUCAAGUGAUUUUCCUGCCUUAGCGUCCCAAGUAGCUGGGAUUACAGGCGCGCACCACCACGCCCAGCUAAUUUUUGUAUUUUUAGUGGAGAUGGGGUUUCACCAUGUUGGCCAGGCUGGUCUUGAACUCCUGACCUCAGGUGAUACACCCGCCUCGGCCUCCCAAAGAAGGCAUACAGCUUUUUUGGCCUGAGUUCUUCCAAAGAGAGACCCUUCCUAGUUGACUUGGCAUCAUCUUUCAUUCACCAGUGUUCUCUAACUGCCUUUAUGAUUAGAAUUCUCACAGCGUUUUCUCCCCCAAGGGCAUAUUUUACAGAGGCAACUCAAAUCUCAGUGCCUUUCUGAACUCCUUACAAUUGGGUUUAUAGAUGCCUCCACCCUGAGGUUCAAUUUCACUGUCCAUAUUCCUAUUCUAAGUCUGGAGCACUUUAUUUUUGAUCCAGACUUUUAGCUUCACUGAGGCCUCUUGGGUUCUAGCUAAUUUUUUUGGACACAUUUCCCUAGUGGGCAGCCUAGGAAUGGCCUGUCCUCCCUAUCCCCCAAAGUUUGGCAAGGUCUGUACCCCCUACCUUAAUGGAAUCAGCACUACUUGAGAUUUCUGAACAUCCUACACCGUUUCCUCUCCCCUCAACCCCUGCAGCCUCAUACACGAGGUCUAGUGGAAAGCAGGAUCUGCUGAUCACUAGGAUAUUAGAGCCAGUGUCUCCAGUAGGGAAGAACUCCUGGGCAUGUGUUCUAUGCCCUGAAUGACAGCUCUCUGCCUAUCAGUUUCUGCUUUCCCUCCAUCUCACCUUUAUUUUGGCUUUUACCUAGAAGUACAAACUUUGUCUUGUUCCUCUGCCUGGACUUCCUAACCCUGUCCAGGACUAAAGCCCUGCUGUCAGUCCCUCACCAGGGACUUUCCACACUUUCCCUGGCCAGGUCACUUAUCUGAUACUAGAGCCUUUUCUUGCAUCUAGGCUUUAGUAGGUAGAGUUCUGUCCAUGCACAGAUCUCCCUGUGUUGACCACCUUGAACUUCGCCUAGUGCUCUUUGCGCUAAUUAGAUGCCAUGCUAGUCUGUCCUGCUGCCUUCUGGAACAAGGCUCUUAGCUUUGUUGAGCUCUUGCCCUGGAUUUCAUGUUAGCUGUCCAGCUGCCUGCACCUCAAAAAGAGCUUUUAAUAUGCAUUAUAAAACUCCAAAAGGGAAAUAGAAUAUAUAACAUUUUUCAAACGUAUUUAACUAGAGAUCCAUUUUUUUUUUCUGAAGGAAUAUUUAUUAAAAUCUUACAGAAUAUGUGUUUGGUGGAAUACAGUUUUGGAAAGAGUGAAUCUUUAUCCCAAAGGAAUGGACAUCAAAUAGAGUAAUUCCAGAUGAAGAUAAUGUUACUAUUACCUUCAUCUGAAAUUCCAGAUGAAGGUAGUAAUCACUAUUUCCUGUGUGUCUGCAUAAGGAUAGCUCUAAUCCGCAGUGGAACUCUAAAAUAGGGAGGAAGGAAGAAUUCUGCAUUCUUUCUUCCACUUUGAAUCCUCUUCUUCCCAAUGGAAACAGGAAGUGGUAAAUGCAAUGGUGCCAUCACGGCCAUGGUCGUCACUGGCUUCUGGAUACAAGAUAGGAGGGCUUCUCUGAGGCUCUCUUCCCUAGAUUGGACCUCUCAGAAUUUCUCUAGAGUGCUCCUGAGCACCCUUCCUUCUACUCUGGGACUAUAUUCAUCUCAGCAUCAGUCUCAAGUUUAACUGCUAGUUCAGGAUUUUGAUGUUACACAUGGGGAUCAGUGCCAGAUGGGAUGUAGCUCAUUUUUAUGGAAUGAGUAUGACAUAAAUUUUCUCCUUUCCCUAUUAAAUUUCUCUUCUAUAUCUUGUGGGCAGUCCAGACUAUAAUUUUUUUUUCAAUCCUUGAAUGGAGAUAAGCUCAUGCUCUGUGGGCAGGGCGGUGUUACAGGUGGGUCGCCAUUUAAAUCCGACUGGGUGGGUGACCACGUACCAGGAAUGGAAGUUGGCUUAGCUAGUAACCAAAGAGCAAGCCAGUUACUUCCCCUGCAUGCCAUUCCCAACCAGCACAGCUGGGGAAAGACCACCUGAAAGAAAUCUCUAAGACUUCUGAUGAAGAAAUUACUAGGUCCUCUUGAGACCCUCAUGUAUGUGUCUUUAUUGUCGUGAGUGAGAUCAUUAGUUGGCUGAUCUCAGUUGGCUUAGCUAAUCAUAAACUAGAUGGAAAGGCUCAGCUUUGACCAUGACCUUAAAUAUGGAUGGACCAUGUCCUUAGGUAUGUUCUUUGAGCAUCCAGUAAGCAGCAUUCUCCGUAGACAAGCCCCACCCUUGGGGCCUUAGCCUAUGGCAUUUGUCCAUUUUUGCCAUUUCUUCUGAAAGACUAUGGUUUUAACUGAAGACCAGGGAGUCAGCUCGCUUAUAGGAAGUGGGAAGAGGGCUUGAAAUGGGCAUUCAGAGAUCUUAAAUAGAGCUUGUAGUUUAUUUGGUCAGUCUACAAGUAUUUGCCACGUUAGUUUAGUUUAGUUUAGUUUAGUUUUGAGUCGGAGUCUCACUCUGUCACCCAGGCUGGAAUACAGUGGUGUGAUCUCGGCUCACUGAAACCUCUGCCUCCCGGGUUCAAGUGAUUCUCCUGCCUCAGCCUCCCGAGUAGGUCAGAUUACAGGGGCCUGCCACUGCGCCCGGCUAAUUUUUGUACUUUUAGUAAAGACGAAGUUUCACCAUCUUGGCCAGGCUGGUCUUGAACUUUUGACCUCAUGAUCCACCUGCCUCGGCCUCCCAAAGUGCUGGGAUUACAGGCGUGAGCCACCGUGCCCAGCCGGUAUUUGCUAAGUAUUAAUUGGCUUAUAACUGUGGAAAACUUGUUAACAGCUUUAGGAAGGCUGUUAGGGAAAGUCUCAGGUUGCAGUGAGCUGAGAUCAGGCCAUUGCACUCCGGCCUGGGUGACAGAGCAAGACUCCAUCUCAAAAUAAAUGAAUAAAAAUUUAAAAAAUAAAUAAAGAGACAAAGUCUUGCUCUGUCACUCAGGCUAGAGUGCGGUGGUGUGAUCACAGUUCACUGCAGCUUCAAACUUCUGAGCUCAAGCAAUCUUCCUGUCUCAGCCUCCCUGAGUAGUUGAGAUUACAUAGGUGGGUGCCACUAUGCCCAACUGUCUCUACUCCCUCUAUAUACUGUCUCUAGAUGAUGCCAUCUAUAUUUAUUGGUUCAGCUACCACUGAUACAUCAAGUACUUUAAUACCAUCAUCCUCCACCUAGAUUUUUCUCUCUUCUGAGUUUCUUACUCAUAAUAGCCAAACACUAUUGGCAUUGUAACCUGGAUAGCUCUUAAGCACCUUAAACUCAACAUGUCUCAAGCCAAAUUAUAUUGUUCAUCACACCAUUCUCUUUCCCUUUCCAAACCUCCUCCUCCUCCUCAUUUCCUUGAUUUAGGAGCAUCACUGUCUGGCGUCAUUUGUUAACAUGCUUUUGCAUUACUGUUUUCUAUUCCCCCACUGGGAAUUUAAUAGUCUCCGGUUGUAAUGUAAGAUGUUUAGGAUGUGGUUCUUUCUUUUCUUAUUCAAGAACAAUUAAAGGUUAAGCUGAGAUUCAGACUCUAAGUAAAAUGGAAGUCGUGGAGAGGAAGCAUCUGAGGGCUAGAACCUUGGAAGAAAACUUGAGAGUUGACUAAGGCCACCCUUAGGUGCAGUAGGGGCCAGAAGACCUUUUUAGGAGCAUGCAGAAUGGAGAAGAGGUGGGGCAUAUGAUCCUCAGUUUGUUUCUUGUGCAAGCAGAGUAAUUGGCACCUCCCCUGCUGGCUGUUUGUGUAAAUCACUGUGGAACCUCAUGUAAUCUGGUUUAAACGUCUAAGGAUUGAGCAUCCUAGUAUAACCCAUCAGCUAGCUGGAGUCAUCCUUCUCCUUAAAGUUUUGGCUGAAAAUGUCAUUCUUCAACUUACAGCAAGUUGUUCUGAUUCCUUCUUCAGAUUUCUUCAAAUUCCCAGGAGCUCUGAUUUUGAGCUCUUGCUUCCAUUGAAUUUGUUUAGAUUAUGGAUGGUUUACUAGAUCAAGUACACUGACCCUGUUUCCAUCCACAAUGAUACAGAUGUAGAACUCCCAGCUAAAGCCUUUAUAUGCGUUGCAGACUUUAUCAAAGGUUUGGGAUAAUGGAGAGAAUUCAACAUUGCAACAAAGUAAGCAACUUGAAUUCUAAUACUGGUUAUUCCUGUUCCUCAGAGUACUUUUGCCCACCCCUCCACUAGGGAUUUGUCAUUAUUCAUAUCACCCACAUAUGUUGGCUUUGUUUUUUUUUUUUUUUUGAGAUGGAGUUUUGCUUUCGUUGCCCCGGCUGGAGUGCCAUGGCAUGAUCUCGGCUUACUGCAACCUUUGCCUCCCACGUUCAAGUGAUUCUCCUACCUCAGCCUCCCAAGUAGCUGGGAUUACAGGCAUGUGCCACUAUGCCUGGCUAAUUUUUGUAUUUUUAGUAGAGACAGGGUUUCUCCAUGUUGGUCAGGCUGGUCUCGAACUCCCAACCUCAGGUGAUCCGCCCACCUCGGCUUCCCAAAGUGCUGGGAUUACAGGCGUAAGCCACCCCACCCAGCUGGCCUUGGUCUUUUAUAAUCUUAUCUUUCUCUCCUCUGCAAACUCUCCUUAGCAUAUUACCACUAGAACUCCAAAUACUUCUGUCAUUCUAUUUUGCAAGCAAUUUAACUCUCUCAAACUCUUCCUCCUAAAAUCACUUCUGGGUUCACUUCUGUGUGUCCAGAGCCUACCAAGGGGGAAUAAAGAGCUUCAUACGCUUUUUUUUCCCCCUUGAGACAUGGUUUUGUUCUGUUGCCAAGGCUGGAGUGAAGUGCUAUGAUGUGGUCAUAGCUCAUUGUAACCUCAAACUCUUGGCCUCAGGCAAUCCUCCCACCUUAGCCUCCUGAGUAGCUAGCACUUACAGGUGAUCACCACCACACCUGGCUACUAUUUUUUUUGUCUUUUAGUGACAGGGUCUUGGUAUGUUGCCCAGGCUGGUCUUGAACUUGGUAUGUUGCCCAGCCUGGUUGCCCAGGCCACUGGCCUCAAGCAAUUCAACUUUCUUGGCCUCCCAAAGUGUUGGGAAUACAAGCAUGAGCCACUCUGCCCAGCCUUCAUGCAUUUCUUUAGCUACACAAAGAAUAAUAUGUAGACCCUCUGAUGUUUACUUUUCCAUUAUCUUCCAUCUUUUGAAGGUAUUUCUUGUUUUGAGUAGCACUUACUGCUUAUCUGCAUAAUGGUUUUACAUUGAAGGAUCUAUGGAGGAAAAAUAGGAGGAUAUUCUAGGUAAAAGCAACAAUAAAAGCAGCAACCUUCACAAAACCUGUUGUGGACAAAUGAAAAACUAGUCCAACUGGGCAGAAGAAUUCUUGUCAAGGAGGAGAGCUCACAAUAGAUUAGAAAAUCCAGAAACAGACCUAGGUUUCAGCAGGAAAGGAUAGUGUUAGGACAAAUGAUACAGGACAGCUGGCUGACAAGAAAAAAAAUUUCUGUCACCAUAUAACAAAAUUAAUUCUAAAUGGAUUACAAGUUUUUACAUAAAAACUAAAGUAAUAAAUGUACUAGAAGAUAAUUUUUUUUUUGAAGUAUGGCACUAAAGGCAGAAACUAUAAAGGAAAAUGUGUGAUGAAUUAGCUAAAAAAAAGUAACAGCAUAAGCAAAAGUACAUGACAAACUGGUUAAAAACAGUUUUCAACAUAUCUCUAAUGUACACAGAGCUUUUACACGUUAAUAGGAAAAAAAAUACCACAAAAAAAUGGGCCAAAGUCAUAGAAGAAUAAAUUCAAAUGUGACUAACAAAGCAUAUAGAAAAAGGCUAUUUCAGCCAGGCGCAGUGCCUCAUGCCUGUAAUCCCAACACUUUGGGAGGUUUUUACAAAAAUGAAUUAGCCAGGAGUGGUGGUGCACACCUGUAGUCCCAGCAGUAGCUCAGGAGGCUGAGGCACGAGAACGGCCUGAAUGCAGGAGGCGGAGGUUGCAGUCAGCUGAGAUCACGCCACUGUGCCCCAGCCUGAGUGACAGAGCAAGACUCAUGCCUGUAAUCCCAGCACUUUAGGAAGUUGAGGCAGGCAGAUUGCUUGAGCUCAGGAGUUUGAGAACAGACUAACAAGUCACUGAUUAUGCCAAGGUGUUUAUCUACACCAAAAUUGGAAGGUUACCUAUCAUGAUGGAAAUGGGGCUAACUGGAAAGGGGAGCCACUCCUCUAGAAGGGGAAGAUGGAUUUGUUUCCUGGAGUUGAAUUUGAAGAGCUAGAGGUACAUCCAAGAGGAAAUGUUCCAUAGGCUGGAGAUUUCCAUUUAGAGAAAAAAAUUACUUCUAAAGUAGAAGCAAUAGGUGGGAGUGGAGACUCCCUAGAUUUGGCACCUUUGACAGGCUUGGAGGGGAGGUGGUAUUUUGGUUCUUCCCUUCCUGCCAGAAGUCUCCUUGAGAGAGACUGGAGAGGAGUGUGUGGUCUCAAUUAGAACCUGAAGAGUAGAGACUGGGGAGAGGUAGGAGUGGGCAGUAAUCAUAAACAACAGCCACAACAGCAUUUAAAAAUUACUUUAGGCCAGGCGCAGUGGCUCAUACCUGUAAUCCCAGCGCUUUGGGAGGCUGAGGUGGGAGGAUCCCUUGAGCCUAGGAGUUCGAGGCUGCAGUGAGCCAUGAUCGUGCCACUGCACUCCAGCCUGGGUGACAGAGUGAGUCCCUGUCUUGGAAAAAAAUAAAAAUUACUUUAGAAAGUGACACUAUAGUGACUUAAGUAACAGAAUCCUGUGUGUUUUAGAUUAUUACUUUUUUUUGUUUUUUGUUUAUGUGUACACUUCCAAUUUUGGUGUAGACAAACACCUUGGCAUUAUCAGUGACUUGUUACUCUGUUCUCCUCUUCCUGCCUGAGAGACUGUCAAAUCAGCACUUAUUCUAUAAAGUGUCUUUAGAUUGAUCCAUUUCUUUAUAAUCCCACCCGCCCACGCUAGUUGCUACCUUAUUAUUUCAUACUUGUAUUGCCAUUACAGCUUACUAACUGGUUUCUCUAAUUUCAUUUUCUGCUUCAUUCAUUUUGCAUGCUACAACAUAAAACCUGCCCUGAUCACUGCUUUUAUCACCACUAUCUGCUCAAGAGCCUACAAUGGCUCUUCAUUACCAAGCCCACCAAGGUAAAAUAAUUUUGUCCGGUUUCAGCCCACCCACCAUAUUCAAGUAACAGGGUGUCUCUUUUUCUGCCCACCUCUUCACUGCUCCUAGCUCCAGGCUGCAGCUUUUGCUCUGUCUGCCCCUCUUUGGAAAAUUCAUCUCUAAGAGACAGGGAGUGGAGAAAUGAGAAAUGAACUUUGAGG